GCACUAGUCGGGGAGCUAGCGGUGCCCUGUACCUGCAAUCCGCUAUAGCAGGGAUGAAUCCCCUCCCGAGGAAGUAUGAUGUGUCGUCUGCCCGCGGCAAGUGGCGUUGAGGAUCAGGUCUUGCGCAACGCAGCCCUGCGAACCAUGUCAGGCGGGGAACCGAGCAGCAUUAAGCGGGCCCCUGUGUGUGCCGCGAGGGCGCCGGGUCUGAGUUAACUGCUGCGGUAACGGACAUAUCCUGCUUUCGAAGGCGGGU
This 256-nucleotide signal recognition particle RNA is filed under the name chicken gut metagenome. RNAcentral's name for it is "Bacterial large signal recognition particle RNA". It matches the Rfam family "Bacterial large signal recognition particle RNA". Rfam says of the family: The signal recognition particle (SRP) is a universally conserved ribonucleoprotein involved in the co-translational targeting of proteins to membranes. Archaeal SRP consists of a 7S RNA and homologues of the eukaryotic SRP19 and SRP54 proteins. In most bacteria, the SRP consists of a 4.5S RNA and the Ffh protein (a homologue of the eukaryotic SRP54 protein). The record is from RNAcentral.